GGAGGCAGCAGUGGGGAAUAUUGGGCAAUGGGCGCAAGCCUGACCCAGCAACGCCGCGUGAAGGAAGAAGGCUUUCGGGUUGUAAACUUCUUUUAAGUGGGAGGAGUAGAAGACGGUACCACUUGAAUAAGCCACGGCUAACUACGUGCCAGCAGCCGCGGUAAUACGUAGGUGGCAAGCGUUGUCCGGAUUUACUGGGUAUAAAGGGCGUGCAGCCGGGCAUGCAAGUCAGAUGUGAAAUCUCAGGGCUUAACCCUGAAACUGCAUUUGAAACUGUAUGUCUUGAGUGCCGGAGAGGUAAUCGGAAUUCCUUGUGUAGCGGUGAAAUGCGUAGAUAUAAGGAAGAACACCAGUGGCGAAGGCGGAUUACUGGACGGUAACUGACGGUGAGGCGCGAAAGCGUGGGGAGCGAACAGGAUUAGAUACCAUGGUAGUCCACGCUGUAAACGAUGGAUACUAGGUGUGCGGGGACUGACCCCCUGCGUGCCGCAGUUAACACAAUAAGUAUCCCACCUGGGGAGUACGAUCGCAAGGUUGAAACUCAAAGGAAUUGACGGGGGCCCGCACAAGCGGUGGAUUAUGUGGUUUAAUUCGAAGCAACGCGAAGAACCUUACCAGGUCUUGACAUCCUGCUAACGAAGUAGAGAUACAUUAGGUGCCCUUCGGGGAAAGCAGAGACAGGUGGUGCAUGGUUGUCGUCAGCUCGUGUCGUGAGAUGUUGGGUUAAGUCCCGCAACGAGCGCAACCCCUAUUGUUAGUUGCUACGCAAGAGCACUCUAGCGAGACUGCCGUUGACAAAACGGAGGAAGGUGGGGACGACGUCAAAUCAUCAUGCCCCUUAUGACCUGGGCUACACACGUAAUACAAUGGCGGUCAACAAAGGGAUGCAAAGCCGCGAGGCAGAGCGAACCCCAAAAAGCCGUCCCAGUUCGGAUCGCAGGCUGCAACCCGCCUGCGUGAAGUCGGAAUCGCUAGUAAUCGUGGGUCAGCAUACCACGGUGAAUACGUUCCCGGGCCUUGUACACACCGCCCGUCACACCAUGAGAGUCGGGAACACCCGAAGUCCGUAGCCUAACCGUAAGGAGGGCGCGGCCGAAGGUGGGUUCGAUAAUUGGGGUGAAGUCGUAACAAGGUAGCCGUACUAGUACGAUAU
This 1153-nucleotide ribosomal RNA is filed under the name metagenome. RNAcentral describes it as "bacterial SSU rRNA". It matches the Rfam family "Bacterial small subunit ribosomal RNA", at positions 344 to 1515 of the family's 1533-position model. The record is from RNAcentral.